GAGUCCAGGCUUUUGCACCUUGUACAUAUAUGUUAUAUUUGUAAAUUGUUGAUGUUUAUUACAUAAUUGUUUGAUGAAGCUUUUGCACCCUGGACAUAUGUGUUACCUUUGUUAAUUGUUGAUGUUUAUUACAUAAUUGUUUGAUGAAGAGUCCAAUUUUCUGCACCCUGGACAUAUGUGUUAUCUUUGUUAAAUGUUGAUAUUUACUUAAUUACAUCAUUGUUUGGUGAAGAGUCCAUGCUUCUACUGGACAGACUUGAGUGAAGAUGUUGUAUACAAAAAACGGUACACAAGGACAAGGGACAGAUACAAGGAUCUUAUUCAUAAGAUCAAGAGGUGCCAAAACAACGUGAAACCACCUCCAUUCAUUCCUGACAAAGAGUGGGCAAGUUGGAAAGAGUAUUUGGUGUCGGGAUGAUGUGAAAGCAAAAGCAGAAGAUGGAAGUGAAUGAACGUGUUGAGACAUUGAGCCAGCCUGUUCCCGAUGCAGAUGAGGUGCCAGAGGUGGAUAUGAAUGAGAUCUUCAAAAGUCUUAUCCAGCCCUCGAAGAAGAAGAGACUAUUUGGUGCAUUGCUAUAUAAGUGGUUCAUCUAGUACUGAUUCUGAAGCGACCUCCCAGUUCGAUUCAACUGCUCAUCAGAAGUUAAUGGAGAUGCAGGAACUGUUCGAUUUAGAGAGACAGUAGAGCUAGCAAAAUGAGGAAAUGAUGCAAGCUGAGUUGAGGGGGCGAGAUGAGGAGUUGAGGGCGCGGGACGAGGCACAAGCACAGAUGCAAGCAUAGUUUCAGGCUCAGCAGGAAACUUUUGAGCGAGCUUUAUCGAAGCUAGAUAGUGGUGGAGGACAUCCAUCAUCUUCCUCUUGAUUCCUUUUAUCUUUAGAUGUUGGUAUGGAACCAUUUUAAACAAUUUGAUUUUAACUUUUUUAUGAAUAUUUUGUUAUGUUGGAGAGUGAACAUAUGAUCUUUUGUUAUGUUGGAAUUUAAUGUGAUAUAAGACUUUUUUUGUGGUUUA
Salvia miltiorrhiza (redroot sage) is the source of this 1010-nucleotide long non-coding RNA. RefSeq lists it as uncharacterized. The transcript has 2 exons. Lineage: Eukaryota; Viridiplantae; Streptophyta; Magnoliopsida; Lamiales; Lamiaceae. The record is from RefSeq and is a predicted model, not a curated record.